AGAGCGAACGCUGGCGGCAGGCUUAACACAUGCAAGUCGAGCGGGCGUAGCAAUACGUCAGCGGCAGACGGGUGAGUAACGCGUGGGAACAUACCUUUUGGUUCGGAACAACACAGGGAAACUUGUGCUAAUACCGGAUAAGCCCUUACGGGGAAAGAUUUAUCGCCGAAAGAUUGGCCCGCGUCUGAUUAGCUAGUUGGUGAGGUAACGGCUCACCAAGGCGACGAUCAGUAGCUGGUCUGAGAGGAUGAUCAGCCACAUUGGGACUGAGACACGGCCCAAACUCCUACGGGAGGCAGCAGUGGGAAUAUUGGACAAUGGGCGCAAGCCUGAUCCAGCCAUGCCGCGUGAGUGAUGAAGGCCCUAGGGUUGUAAAGCUCUUUUGUGCGGGAAGAUAAUGACGGUACCGCAAGAAUAAGCCCGGCUAACUUCGUGCCAGCAGCCGC
This 446-nucleotide ribosomal RNA is filed under the name uncultured bacterium. RNAcentral's name for it is "SSU rRNA". It matches the Rfam family "Bacterial small subunit ribosomal RNA", at positions 26 to 518 of the family's 1533-position model. The record is from RNAcentral.